AACAAGGCGUACCUGCGGACCUGCGGAAGGAUCAUUAUAGAAUUGUUCGAAUUCCAUACGGACGAUUUUCUAAAAAUCCGUAUCCACACCGGUAGGGCUGGCCUGAGCAAUCAGUCGGCCCUUGCCGUAGGGUUCCUUUUCUUUUUCUUCGGGAAAAGAACUGGUUCCUGUCUGACCCAUGCCUAUAAUUUUUUAUUGUCUGAACUUUUAUAUAAUAUAUAUAAAAACUAAAACAACUUU
RNAcentral lists this unclassified non-coding RNA (240 nucleotides) under soil metagenome. RNAcentral's name for it is "partial contains 5.8S ribosomal RNA, internal transcribed spacer 2, and large subunit ribosomal RNA". The record is from RNAcentral.